UAUAAUGGGUCAGCGACUUAUAUUCUGUAGCAAGGUUAACCGUAUAGGGGAGCCGGAGGGAAACCGAGUCUUAAUUGGGCGUUAAGUUGCAGGGUAUAGACCCGAAACCCGGUGAUCUAGCCAUGGGCAGGUUGAAGGUUGGGUAACACUAACUGGAGGACCGAACCGACUAAUGUUGAAAAAUUAGCGGAUGACCUGUGGCUGGGGGUGAAAGGCCAAUCAAACCGGGAGAUAGCUGGUUCUCCCCGAAAGCUAUUUAGGUAGCGCCUCGUGAAUUCAUCUCCGGGGGUAGAGCACUGUUUCGGCUAGGGGGCCAUCCCGGCUUACCAACCCGAUGCAAACUGCGAAUACCGGAGAAUGUUAUCACGGGAGACACACGGCGGGUGCUAACGUCCGUCGUGAAGAGGGAAACAACCCAGACCGCCAGCUAAGGUCCCAAAGUCAUGGUUAAGUGGGAAACGAUGUGGGAAGGCCCAGACAGCCAGGAUGUUGGCUUAGAAGCAGCCAUCAUUUAAAGAAAGCGUAAUAGCUCACUGGUCGAGUCGGCCUGCGCGGAAGAUGUAACGGGGCUAAACCAUGCACCGAAGCUGCGGCAGCGACGCUUAUGCGUUGUUGGGUAGGGGAGCG
This 627-nucleotide ribosomal RNA is filed under the name Salmonella enterica. RNAcentral describes it as "partial 23S ribosomal RNA". It matches the Rfam family "Bacterial large subunit ribosomal RNA", at positions 611 to 1238 of the family's 2925-position model. The record is from RNAcentral. Lineage: Bacteria; Pseudomonadati; Pseudomonadota; Gammaproteobacteria; Enterobacterales; Enterobacteriaceae.